AUACGGAGGGGGUUAGCGUUGUUCGGAAUUACUGGGCGUAAAGCGCACGUAGGCGGACUGGAAAGUUGGGGGUGAAAUCCCGGGGCUCAACCCCGGAACUGCCUCCAAAACUCCCAAUCUAGAGAUCGAGAGAGGUGAGUGGAAUUCCAAGUGUAGAGGUGAAAUUCGUAGAUAUUUGGAGGAACACCAGUGGCGAAGGCGGCUCACUGGCUCGAUACUGACGCUGAGGUGCGAAAGCGUGGGGAGCAAACAGGAUUAGAAACCCCAGUAGUCC
This 274-nucleotide ribosomal RNA is filed under the name uncultured bacterium. RNAcentral's name for it is "partial 16S ribosomal RNA". It matches the Rfam family "Bacterial small subunit ribosomal RNA", at positions 523 to 796 of the family's 1533-position model. The record is from RNAcentral.